Molecule: RNA transcript, 6370 nt
Organism: Musca domestica (house fly)
Lineage: Eukaryota; Metazoa; Arthropoda; Insecta; Diptera; Muscidae
Exons: 2
Source: RefSeq, a predicted model, not a curated record
GUUGUAGAUCAGGCCUAUUAUUUGAUGUUAUCGAUAAUUGUUAUUUUGAUUCUAUCGAUUAUUAUUUGCAUUGUCACUUUGUAUUGAAUUACCGCAGUUUGCUGAUUCCUCUUUCUUUGCAUAUUUGUGCUUAUCGUUGCUGAGCGCAAUUAGCUCAUUUUAAAUUUGAUAUUCGUUGAAGAAGGAGGCGCAAAACUGCGGUAAGUGUCCGUCAUUUAUAUUUGUAUUUUUUGGUAAAUUAACAGUUAUGUUUUCGUAGAAAUAAACGCAGCAACAAUAUAAACGUGUUUUAUUGUCCGUUUAACGCAAGCCUCCUGCCCUUCUAGCCGCAGUCAGCAACAUUUUUUUAUUUCGCAUUUUGCUGUUAUUGUAUGUUGCAGUUUUUUGUAUUUUCAUACAAAGAACUGAGUUUGUUGCCGUGGUAAUUGUUGGUGGACACAAAAUAAGCAACCUUUUGGAAAAUGUUACAGCAUACUCCACCACGCCGGAGUCCUCGUCUGCAAGGAAAUAUAAAUGCAGAUGCUGUAACAGAUGAUCAUCCUGAUCAGACUCAGCCAGAGUCAAUGCUAAUUAGUGUCACAAACAAAACAACCACACAAACUGCCGGAGGUAAUAUUAAAAGUGGGGAACAGCCUAUAACCUCACGUGUUGUGCAGCCAGCACCUAUUUCCUCCAUGGAAUUAAAUGGAAAUCCAGCCACUACAGUAAGUGGCCACCAACAGCAAACUAUCGGACAGAAGAUGUCAGUGCCGAUGUCGACUACAAGUCCUGCCAGUCCAUCAGAGAUGCAAAGACAAGUCAACCUAUUGAAAAGCCAGCUAUCGGAAACACAAAAGAAGCUGACCAACAGCAACCGCCAAUGCCAUGAACUCCAAAAUGCACUCCGAAACGUAUCAUCCCAGGUAAGUGACCAUAACCUCACAUCAGUUUCAACCUCGCAAACGCCAUUUGCAAUCGCCAUUGACACCAGAGCCGCCAUGCCGCCAACAGCAUUUGGGUCCCGCUAUACCAAUUGCCCAACCACACACACAUAUACAACCGCCGCCAUGUUUCAGCCUGUAGCAAGCACCAGAGCCGUUAUGCCGUCGACGUACGCUGCCUCAGCAAUUGGAAACUUAACUGCAGCGACAGUGGCGAGCGCAUCCUCUGCCGCGAUGCCACUACUACAAUCAGCACCAACUGCAGCCAGCAGUAAUGCCAGCGCUGCUACGACCUGUUCAAUGCCAUUAUGGGAGCCAUUGCAAAAUUUUCAACACUUUGAUACUUUUCCAAAUCCAAGCAUACCUGCGAUCACAAUGCCAAGAAAAAUUCAAGAUUUGCCAGAAUUCAGUGGUGAUCCAGACGACUGGCCAUUAUUUUAUACAGCUUUCAACCAGUCAACUGCAGCAUAUGGUUACACGAAUUUGGAAAAUAAUCAACGUUUGCACAAGUCGCUCAAAGGUGAAGCCAGAGAAGUCGUCAAAUCACUGCUUAUUCAUCCUGACAACGUCGACGACAUAAUUAAACAACUCUGUUUUAGAUUUGGUAGACCGGAGCAGCUCAUACAUAGUCAGUUACGCCAAGCCAGGGAAUUGCCUCAGAUUUCGGAAAAUAACUUAGGGAAGUUAGUGCCAUUUUCAACAAAAGUUAAAAAUUUAGCUGUUUUCCUGCAAUCCGUGAAUGGACAAAAUCACAUUGCUAACCCUACACUUCUGGAGGAGUUGGUGUCGAAGCUUCCAAUGAGUAAGAAAUUAGAAUGGGCCAGGGUAGCCACUCAAAUUCAACCAUAUCCUACAAUAAUACAUUUCAGCGAUUGGCUUUGCGAGAUUGCUAAUUUAAUAUGCAUAGUGCAGGAUGUGGAAUAUAAAGACCAAAAGCGCCGUGUUUUAUUGCAUUCCACCGGACAACAAAUACAAUGCCCUAUGUGCCAGGGCCAACAUAGGAUUUAUGAUUGCCGCCGGUUUUUAAACCUGAAUGUUCCAGAUAGAUGGAAACAAGUUAAAAAAAAUCGUGCCUGUUUUUCCUGUUUGCACACUGGACAUAUAACCCGAGACUGUCGACGUAGACGAGUAUGCCCUGAGGAAGGAUGCGAGCGAAGGCAUCAUAAAUUACUUCAUGAGUGCACCACCCCCUGUGUUCCACCACCAACUUUGGCGAAUCCUGAUCCUAAAUCUCAACAAAAUGUUCUCAGUUGCAAUUCCGAAGAUAAGAAGAAACUUCUUUUUAGGGUUCUGCCUGUAACAUUGUACGGGAACAAUUGUUCAAUGGAAGUCUACGCCCUCUUUGAUGAUGGAUCAUCCAUCACCAUGAUGGACAGCGAUAUUGCCGAAAAAAUAGGGAUAAGAGGAAAGAAUACUUCGCUCAAUGUUCAAUGGUUCGGAGGCCGAUCAGCCAGAGAGCCCGUGACAUCCUUCAACAUAAAAGUGAGUGGAUCUGGUAAAAAGGGUUGCCAUCUACUAAAAAAUGUGUAUGCAGUAUCUAAUCUCAACCUUCCGAUGCAGUCCUUGAGUCAAGAUGAAAUUUUAUCAGCCUUUAAGAACUGUAAAUUUCCUCCCGUGAAACCCUACUCCAAUGUAGUGCCAAAGCUUUUGAUUGGAUUGGACCACGCGUCUCUAGGGUUGCCAUCGAAUUGUAAAAUAAAUAAUGAAUUUGGACCAUUUGCAUGUAAUACGGAAUUGGGAUGGGUUGUUUUCGGGCCAUGUCACUCUUUAUCCUCAAUUCAGAAGUCAUCUUUGUUUAUUUCGGUGGAAAACAAAGACGAAUUACAUCAAAUAGUAGCUGAUUAUUUUAAUGUGGAAGGUAUGGGAGUUAGAUCUGCUCCUUUAGUUGAAAGCGAUGAUGAUGUUAGAGCCAAGAGAAUUCUUGAAGAAACCACUCAACGAAUUGGAGAUCGAUUUCAAACUGGGCUGUUGUGGAAACAAGAUGAGAUUCGUCUCCCAGAUAGUUACCCGAUGGCACUUAGUCGUCUGGAAGGAAUUGAAAGGAAGAUGAAACGAGAUCCCAAGUUCUCUGCGGCCUACAGGGAAAUUAUAGAUAAAUACAUAGAGAAAGGAUAUGUUCGGAAACUACAAUCAGACGAGGUACGAAUUUCUAGUGAAAGAAAAUGGUAUUUGCCGCACUUCGGGGUAGUCAACCCGAACAAACCUGAAAAGUUAAGACUCGUUUUUGAUGCAGCCGCCAAGGUAAACAAUAUUUCGCUGAAUUCUAUGCUGUUAAAAGGACCUCAAAAUAUAGCUUCCUUGUUGACUAUACUGUAUAAUUUCCGCCGAGGCAAAAUAGCAGUUGGUGCCGAUAUAUGUGAAAUGUUUCACCAAGUUAAAAUUCAGCCGAGUGAUAGAGUUUCCCAGCGAUUCCUAUGGAGGGAUGGAAAUCAGAAAGAGCCACCGGGUGUAUACGAGAUGCAGGCCAUGAUCUUCGGUGCAGCCUGCUCACCAUGCUCAGCCAUUUUUGUCAUGAAAGCAAAUGCUAAAGAACAUUUGCACUAUAAUCCAAGAGCGAUUGAAGCCAUUAGCGAGAACCAUUAUGUUGAUGAUUUUGUAGAUAGCUUUGAAAGUGUAGAUGAAGCUAUCAUUAUUUCUAAACAAGUGAAAGAAAUUCACAAAAAUGGCGGAUUUGAAUUGAGGAACUUCAUAUCAAACUCGAAGGAUGUCUCCCAGACACUUGAUGGUAGUUUGAAAGCAAUGCCGAUUAAUAACGGAGCAGAGAAGGUCUUAGGAUUAUAUUGGGAGCCUUCUAGUGAUACGUUUAUGUUCAACUUAAAAUUCAAUCGAGUCGAUUCAUCCAUAAUUUCUGGAGAACUGAAACCAACAAAAAGGAAACUUUUAAGCAUUAUAAUGUCUACAUUUGACCCCCUUGGACUUUUGGGCCACUUUACAGUGGGUGGAAAAUUAUUAAUGCGACAGAUUUGGAAACACGAUUGUCGAUGGGAUGAUAUUAUUCCUGACGAUUUACAUGCCAUAUGGGAAAGGUGGAGAGGUCAGAUGAAAAAUGUUGCCAAAUUUAGCGUCCCUAGACAUUAUUUUCAAACAGGUUUGCCAACAUCACUACAGCUUCAUAUCUUUGUUGAUGCCAGUGAGGAUGCCUUUGCUGCAGUGGCAUAUUGGAGGUACAUUUCGAAUGAGUACACUGAUACCAGCUUCAUCACUUCUAAAAUUAAAUGUGCACCUCUGAAAAAAGUUACGAUUCCGCGUCUGGAGCUACAAGCUGCCGUUUUGGGAACUAGAUUAAUGCAGACUAUUAUGUCAUCUCAUAUUUUGACCCCAGAAAAGAUUGUUUUGUGGAGUGACUCCACAACAGUGUUACGAUGGAUAGCCAGCAGCCACAGACAAUAUAAACAGUACGUCGCCCAUCGAAUUUCUGAAAUAUUGUCAUCAACAAAAAUAGAGAAUUGGAGAUGGGUUCCAACAAGUGAAAAUGUAGCCGAUGAAGGCACCAGGUCAUUCAACAAUAUUGACUUUUCCAUGUCGUCCCGAUGGUUAAGAGGUCCUGCUUUCUUGAGAAUGACUGAACAUGACUGGCCUACUAGAGUAAUUGACACCACCUGUGCUAAUGAUAUUGAGGAAAAUCAUCCGAAAACAUCAUUAUUGAUUGUUGAGAAUGAUUUUAUUGAUUUUAACCGGUUUUCGUCAUUUACAAGAAUAAUAAGGUCGACUUGUUGGAUUAUUCGUUUUGUGAAAAGAUGCCGAAAUAUUUUUGACGAUUCGGAACAGUAUGGUCUCACGUCCCGUGAAUUAAAUUGCGCCGAAGAAAUAUUAUGCCGCCUAGUACAAAGAGAAAGGUUUUCUGCCGAGUUAAGUUGCAUUGAAAAAGGGCAGCCAGUUUCAAAGAACAGUAGUUUGAUUAGUUUAUCUCCCUAUAUUGAUGGUAAUGGUCUUUUAAGAGUAUAUGGAAGAAUAGAUGCUGCCAGCUACCUAUCAUACAACGUGAAAAGGCCAAUAAUAUUGCCUAAAAAUCAUCAGUUUACGAAACUUUUAGUCAUGCAUCAUCAUCGCCAGAUGAUGCACCAAAAUCACGAGGCUACGGUGUGUGAAAUUCGAAAAAAGUAUUGGAUACCACAAGUACGUUCUUUGUUGAAGACAGUAGUUGCCGAGUGUUUUUUAUGCCGAUCUAGAAAAUGUUUACCACGAUUGCCCAUCAUGGGGCAGCUGCCAUUAGACCGCCUUGAUCCUAAUAUUCCGCCGUUCAAAUAUACAGGACUUGAUUAUUUUGGACCAAUUACUGUAACAAUUGGAAGGAGAUCCGAGAAAAGGUGGGUAGCAUUGUUUACAUGCUUAACAAUACGUGCUAUACAUCUGGAAUUAGCGCAUGACUUGUCAACGGAUUCGUGUAUCAUUGCCAUAAGGAAUUUCAUUAAUCGUAGAGGUGUUCCAACCAGGAUUCGUUCCGAUAACGGGACAAAUUUUAUUGGGGCCAACGAGGAGUCUAAAAGAUUCACCGAAGCCUUUGAUGCUAAUAGAAUCCAGAGUGAGUUAUCCAAGAGAGGAAUUGAAUGGAUUUUUAAUUGUCCGGCUAAUCCUUCGGAAGGUGGCGCUUGGGAAAGAAUGGUACAGUGUGUGAAAAAAGUUUUGCGGCAUACACUGAAAGAAAUCUCACCUCGAGAACAUGUACUACAGUCUCUUUUAAUCGAAGCAGAGAAUAUAGUGAAUUCCCGCCCACUAACUCACUUGCCAAUAAGUCCUGAUGAGGAGGAACCACUUACUCCUAACCAUUUUUUAAUUGGCUCGGGAAAUGUUGCACCUACCCCGCCAGUGAAUGAACCCGACGGGAAGCUUUUUUCCCUGAAAAAACAAUGGAGAGUUCUGAGGUGUCUUCGAGAUAGAUUUUGGAAGCGGUGGAUUGCAGAAUACUUACCCACUCUCACCAGGAGAGUUAAGUGGUGUGAAUAUACUCAACCAAUCAGUGCUGGAAAUGUGGUUUUCAUCUGCGACCCAAAUGUUCCAAGGAGUCAAUGGCGGAGAGGUUUGGUCACUUGUGUCUACACGGGUACGGAUGGUGUGCCAAGAAGAGCUGAUGUGAAGACUUCGUCCGGAGUACUGCAACGUCCGGUAUCCAAGUUAGCUGUUUUGGACAUAGAAAUUAGUGAAGCUGAUCGCUCCACGGGGGUGGGGGUGUUGUAGAUCAGGCCUAUUAUUUGAUGUUAUCGAUAAUUGUUAUUUUGAUUCUAUCGAUUAUUAUUUGCAUUGUCACUUUGUAUUGAAUUACCGCAGUUUGCUGAUUCCUCUUUCUUUGCAUAUUUGUGCUUAUCGUUGCUGAGCGCAAUUAGCUCAUUUUAAAUUUGAUAUUCGUUGAAGAAGGAGGCGCAAAACUGCGAAAUAAACGCAGCAACAAUAUAAACGUGUUUUAUUGUCCGUUUAACGCAAGCCUCCUGCCCUUCUAGCCGCAGUCAGCAACA